RNAcentral lists this ribosomal RNA (293 nucleotides) under uncultured prokaryote. RNAcentral's name for it is "partial 16S ribosomal RNA". It matches the Rfam family "Bacterial small subunit ribosomal RNA", at positions 505 to 796 of the family's 1533-position model. The record is from RNAcentral.
GUGCCAGCCGCCGCGGUAAUACGUAGGGUGCGAGCGUUGUCCGGAAUUACUGGGCGUAAAGAGCUCGUAGGUGGUUUGUCGCGUCGUCUGUGAAAUUCCGGGGCUUAACUUCGGGCGUGCAGGCGAUACGGGCAAUACUUGAGUGCUGUAGGGGAGACUGGAAUUCCUGGUGUAGCGGUGGAAUGCGCAGAUAUCAGGAGGAACACCGAUGGCGAAGGCAGGUCUCUGGGCAGUAACUGACGCUGAGGAGCGAAAGCAUGGGUAGCAAACAGGAUUAGAUACCCGUGUAGUCC